AAAUAAACUUGUUAAGCUCACAAGAAUCAUCCUGACCAGGCCCACCUGUGAAUGGUUGCAGGCAAGAAGAAAUUAACACAUCCCUUUCCGGAGUCUGGCUGGAACCAGAACUUUAGCCCCUCCUCUUUCAGUGUAAAAGAAGCCUGAUUCCUAACUCCGGAAACAUGGUUCUUUGGGACACUAGAGCGUCAUCUUCUGGGUCUGCUGGCUUUCCAAAUCAAGUUGCAAUUCCUUGUCCCAACAACUCAUCUCUUGAUUUAUUGGUCCAUUGUGCAGUGACCAGUAUCAGAUCAGACCAGUAUAAGCUUGGACUCAGUAAAAAACUUUAGUAGAGCCAGCCAGGAGACUAACUGCUUGUGGACAGCCAACCCUGGUUAGGGAAUUUUCCAGUAAGGCCCUAGCAGCUGCUGGGACCACUUGUCUUGAGGAUCUGCCCUUCAGAAUUUCCUAAAGCAGCACUGGCUGCCUCAGUACAUGGCAGCUGGAAUAAGGGAUCAGCAUUUGGUAGUCGACGGGCUCAAUGCAAUAGGGUUUGCAAUCCUGUUGGCAAUUUUCUACAACUUUUUAAACUGGGACAGCUUAAUUAGAAUCCUGACUUCUCUCUUCUCCAUCAGCAAUUUGCUCAAGUUUUGAAAAACAUCAUUAAAACAAAGGAUGCAGACAAGGAAGAGGACUGACAAUUAGCAUAAGAACCUUUCUAAAAGGUCAGCAUCCCACAUACCAGGACUUAUUAAGAAGAAUGAAGGAAUAGAGACAAAACUGAAACAGAAGUGGAGCCCCCAGCUCUUCUCUUCUGUGACCUACCCACACACACUGAUAAAGUUAAUUAUCUGCCCUGGCUAAAUGACUUUCCCUAGCAACACCCUAGCAACUAACAUCAGCUCUGCCUUAGGCUACAAAACUGGAAAGAGAUUUCUUGAAGUCCAGUGUAUUUUACAACAGAACGAAACAUCUGAACAGGAAAUUAAACAGAAAGUAAACUGGAUUCAUUGCUAGGAGAUGAGACAUAGACAUACGAGACAGUUUACAACAAUCUACUGAACGCAAUAGUCAAAAUAAGAAACUUUCUUCUCACAAGUUAUACUGAAGUCCGGAGGAGAGACUGCAAGACUUCAUUCCAUGGAGAAGAAGAGAAUUUCAAUGGGCAGAAAAAGGGAAGACAUCCUAGGUGAUGGGAAAGCUAUAAACAAAGUUUGCCAAUUCUGAAAGUGGGGAAUACAGGGGAUCCAGCUGGGGAGCACUGAGAGCUCAGUCUGGAAUCUAUGACCAGAUCAUGGAGGGCCUUGAAGUUCACUUGAAGAACCUGGGCUGCAUCAGAGGGUCCUGGGAGGCUGUUAUUCACAGAACAAAUACUUAUGGAGCCAGGCACCAUGAUGUGCAUGGAGGACACAGUGGUGAGCCCCAGAGACAGUACCAGUCCUUAUGGAUACUGGAAUCUAGUGAUGGAGACAGUGAACAAACACCAAAUGUAAAAGUCAAACAUAAAAGUGACCAUAUGAUUAUAACACAACAUUUCCCUGGUGGCUGCUAAAGAGUCUGCCUGCAAUGUGGGAAACCUAGGUUCGAUCCCUGCAUUGGGAAGAUCCCCUGGAGAAAGGAAGAUAAUUAUAAAUCUUGAGACUAUUAAGAAGAAGAUAUCAAGUUCCAGGAGAGCAUAUAAAGAGGGGCAGGACCUAUUCAGGGAAAUCUGGAAGGACUUCUCUGGGGAAGCAGUUUUGCGCUGAGAUCUGAAGGAUGAGUAGAAGUUGGUUGGGAGAGGACGGUGGGUGGGGGAGACAAAAGCACUGGAUUCUAGGCAGAGAGAACCACACAGACAAAAGUUCAUAAAACUGAAAAGCCAUGGUGGCCAGAGAUCAUGAGAGAAGGGGCGCGUGGCCUUGAGAGGCAGAUCAAGCAGAGCCUCAGAGGCCACAUUAAAGAUUCUUUGUUUUGAGAACCCCAAAAAGCCAGUGGAAAAGGAUUUUAACUGAGGGAUUGACAUUCUAGUCUGCAUUUUAAAAAGGAUCACUCAGACUUCAGUUCAGAAGAUGCACUGGAGGAGAGAAAGAGUAGACAUGGGCAGCCCAGUUAGGAGGCUGAGAGAUGAUGGCAGCUCAGACUGGUGUGGUACCAGAGGAGAUGGCAAAAAAUGGACACAUAUUACAG
Molecule: long non-coding RNA, 2145 nt
Organism: Bos taurus (domestic cattle)
Lineage: Eukaryota; Metazoa; Chordata; Mammalia; Artiodactyla; Bovidae
Source: Ensembl